This 4127-nucleotide long non-coding RNA is filed under the name Homo sapiens (human). RNAcentral's name for it is "HSALNT0068394". Lineage: Eukaryota; Metazoa; Chordata; Mammalia; Primates; Hominidae. The record is from RNAcentral.
GGAAAAAGGUUCCGGCCUCAGCCGGCGCACCUGGCGGAGGAGGAACCUCGCGACGCGCUCUCGGGCAUCGGUUUCUCCCAGCAAAGCUUGGAGGGUUUAGCUGCGCGGAGAGCUCAGCGAGCUCUUCUGUGUCUGUUUGGGGCGUGUGGGCUCCGGGAGCGUGAGGACCGGGAAGCUAGGAGGCUCCUUCCCUUCUGGCGGCUCCCUCACUGAGACCGGGCGGUUUGGUUGCGGGGGAAGUGGAGACGAGCCACCCUUGACCUUUGACUGCAAGAACUCACCUUGAGCAGGAUAGAGCAAACAUUGAGUGGGCCAGACACUGUUCUGAAAAAUACGCAGUCGACUUUUGAACAGCACAGGCUUGAACUGCAUGCGGCCACUAAUACUCGGACUUCCUUCUGCCUCUGCCAUCCCUAAGACAGCAAGACCCACCCCUCCUGCUCCUCAGCCUACUCGAUGUGAUGAUGUCUGGCUUCCUUUUCCCUUCAAUGGAAUAACAUAUACAAACUCUACCUAAGAGUGCUGUGUGAAGUACAUGCCAGCCUACAAGACAUGUCUCUAACCAAGUCGAAAGAGUGCAGUAUUCGUUCAUUCACUCAUUCAUUCAUUCAACAAAUGUUUAUUAAUAGGUAUUGUUUACCAAGCACUGUGUGUUAAGGAGAAGAUGGUAUGAAACAAGCAGACCCAGGCCUCAGGGAAGAGAGGCUGUUACAUUCAGAGACAAUUACCAUACACUACAAUGAAUGCUUUGAUGAAGGGAGGCAAAAAAACAAAAACAAAAACAACAACAACAAAAACCCCACAACGAUGUGGAUCCCUCCCUGUGGGGGUGAGGAGAAAGGAAAACAGCUUCAGGGAUCUCCAAGCCCUUGUGCCGGCCACUCUUCUUUCUUCUCUUCCUUCCUCCUCUGUCUUUCCUUUCAUCCUUCCUCCUCCCUUCUCUUUGGACAUCACUAAUAAAAGAGAAACAGAUGUCAGAGACGUAGACAUGGGGAGGGCUUUAAUAUCUAGCCUUACGGAACAAAAUCCUUGGGACCCAAUAGAACUUAGUGUUGCAGAGCUUUCUCCUGAGUUCAGCUAAAACCAGGCUCUUGUCACACGACCAGGGAAGAUUAGGCUCCCGGACACAUAGAAGGGUGAGGAAAACAGAAUUUAUUGGGCGAAAAGGAAAAAGAAAGAAAAACUCUCAGCGAAGUGAUAGGGGGUCUUGCCAACAACCUCUCUCCUCACAAAUUGAAUCCUAGGUUACCACAGAGGCCAGGUUCCUCUCCCCUGCAAACUUCGUGAACUUCCCCUGGCUCUACCCCUUUCCCCCAGUAAGAAGGUGGGCCUCAUUUAGAGAAAAUCGUUUGGGAAAGGGCAGGCUUCAUCAGGGACCAGCAAUCCAGUUUCUCAGCCUUCAGGCUGUUUUAGCCUUGGAGGUGGGGUUUCACCUGGGACACUUGGCUGCCCCCUGUCUCUAACAUUAGAUGUCUCUAACAUCUAUUCCCCUCCCUAUCUUUGCUGGACACCUGACUCUCUCCUAGAGCAACCCAGCAAACAUCUGUCUGUUGUGUACUUAAAUACCCCCACAGAUUGGGAACUGUCUCCUUUAUGGGAAAGCUCUUUAUAUUUGGGACACCCCAGUUUGUUCAUUCAGCACAUUUUCUUUUCAACUUUUUUAGAGACAAGGUCUCACUCUGUCACCCAGACUGGAAUGCAGUAGCGUGAUCAUAGCUCACUGUAACCUCGAACUCCUGGGCUCAAGUGAUCCUCCUGCCUCGGCCUCCCAGGAGCUAAGGGCUACAGGCGUGUGCCGCCACUCCCAGCUAGUUUUUUAAUUUUUAAAAAUUUUUUGCAGAGGUGGCGUCUUGCUAUGUUGACCAAGUUUGUCUCAAAUUCCUGGCUUCAAGCCAUCCUCCCACCUCUGCCUCCCAAAACACUGGGAUUUCAGCCGUGAGCCACCAACGCACCUGGCCUCAUUCUCCAACUCUUUACAAAGCUUCAAAGACAUCCCAGACGCUGGGAAUACAGAGACCAAUCAGAUACAAACCCUGCCCUCCAGCUGUUCGCAGCAUUCUCGCUCCUUUGCGGCCACCUCUUCUGCCCUGCUUUUCCACCUUGUCCCUUCUUCUGUCAAGUGGCUUUUGGCUUGGUCACCACUUUGCUGGUGUUUCUCUCCAGAAGUGAGUCCCAGACUUCAGGUGUGGUCUGACUCACGUCCUAUCGGGUCUCUCCCUCUGAAAACCGUGCUUGUAUUAAAGCAGCUUGGGAGCUCAUUAAUGUUCUUGGCAGCCAGGUCCUACCCCUGACAGUGCAGGAGCUGCCUGUCCACUUAGGGGACCCCUGUCUUUUUCACACGUGAGUCUGUUAAGCCUCACCUCCCUCAUCGCCUCCAUGUGUGCGGCAGUUUUCAACAAAUGUUCAGAGUACAACACCUGCCCUUGUUAAACGUAAUCUUGUUACACUAGUCCCCUUGUUUUAACUUCUCAAACAUUUUGAGUCUUGCUCCUGUUAACCAAGAAGACCUAGAAAGCUCCACAUCUCCUCUUAAAAUGUGUGUGUGUGUGUGUGUGCGUGUAUUCGUACGCACACCCCUGGGUACAGCUCUGAGGAGGCCACCUAUAGGUUUCUGAACAAUCUUCCAUGAAUACAGCUCAUUCAUACACACAUUUAUUUAUUCUGCAACAUUUAUUCAACAUUCCCUAACAAAACUUUCAUUCUUGAGCACUUUUUGCCCAAGCAUUACAGGGAUAAUAGAAGCAAACGAAUCCAUACUAAGGAGUGAAUUAUUGAUAGUGCUCACCUGCAUUUUUUUAAGCAGAAAGUAGUAUUUAUUUUGGCCUAAUUUCCACCUGUCAGAAAAUCAAAACAGUGAUGAAUUGCAUAUUGCUAUACUACAUUUUAUUAUCAGCAUCAAAAUUCAAGUGUGCUCUGCUUAAAAUUCAGAAGACAAACUUUCUCAUUUAGAAAAGUUCAUUCUGUUAGUGACUGAUCAGAAUGGAAUAAAAAUUUCAUGAUGCAUACAUACUGAUUGAAUUUUUUUUUCUUUUUUUAAAAAAAAUGUAUUUUAUUCUGGAUUCAAGGUGUGCAUGUGCAUAUCUGCUACACAGGUAUAAUUAUGUACUGGUGGGAUUGGGCAUCUAGUGUGUCCAUUACCCAAAUAGUGAACAUUGUACCCAAUAGGUAUUCUUCAACUCUAUCCCCCACUCUAAUGAUCCCCCCUUUGGGAGUCCCCACUGUCUAUAGUUUCCAUCUUUAUGUCCAUCUUUAUGUGCCCAUUGUUUAGCUCCCACUUACAAGUGAGAACAUAUGGUAUUCAGUUUUCUGUUUCUGUGUUAGUUUGUUUAGGAUAAUGACCUCCAGCUCCAUCCAUGUAGUUACAAAGGACAUGGUUUUGUUCUUCUUUUUUUUUUAAUGACUGCUUCACCUUCUUCUUAACUAUCCCAAGGUGUUUGGUUCUUAAACUGAUUGGUGAAAUCUAGCAGUCAUAGCAGAAGCAAGUGGAGACAAGGCUUGUUUAAAUAGUAUCAUUAAGCUGACUCUGACAGAGGCCUUUCCAUACACACCCAACCCUCUCCCCUAUCAGAGCUUCUAGAGAGGGAGGCUGGCUAACCCUGGGAUCCAGAAAUAUUUGGAGAAUCCUCGGGCCGGGCGUGGUGGCUCACGCCUGUAAUCCCAACACUUUGGGAGGUUGAGGCGGGUGGAUCAUGAGGUCAGGAGAUUGAGACCAUCCUGGCUGACACGGUGUACUAAAAAUACAAAAAAUUAGCCGGGCGUGGUGGUGGGUGCCUGUAGUCCCAGCUACUCGGGAGGCUGAGGCAGGAGAAUGGCAUGAACCCCGGAGGCGAAGCUUGCAGUGAGCCGAGAUCGUGCCACUGUACUCCAGCCUGGGAGACAGAGCGAGACUCUGUCUCACAAAAAUAAUAAUAAUAAUAAUAAUAAUAAUAAUUUGGAGAAUCCUCAACAUUCUUUCUGCUCAUCCCAGUAACCCACUUGACAGCAUGGAGCUCAGAAAUGUGGGGACCCCAGAAGCUCAAGAUCUUCAGCCCCAACUCACAACUUUCUCCCUUGCCAUUGGAAGGGAUUGAGGACCUUGGCUCAAAUCUCUGUUUCUCAAAGUGAUUUCUGGCUCAGCCUAUAUCCAG